This 585-nucleotide ribosomal RNA is filed under the name uncultured bacterium. RNAcentral describes it as "bacterial SSU rRNA". It matches the Rfam family "Bacterial small subunit ribosomal RNA", at positions 338 to 916 of the family's 1533-position model. The record is from RNAcentral.
CCUACGGGAGGCAGCAGUGGGGAAUUUUGGACAAUGGGCGAAAGCCUGAUCCAGCAAUGCCGCGUGUGUGAUGAAGGCCUUCGGGUUGUAAAGCACUUUUGGCGGGAACGAAAAGGACUGUGCCAAUACCACGGUUCGAUGACGGUACCCGCAGAAUAAGCACCGGCUAACUACGUGCCAGCAGCCGCGGUAAUACGUAGGGUGCAAGCGUUAAUCGGAAUUACUGGGCGUAAAGAGUGCGCAGGCGGUUUUGCAAGACCGAUGUGAAAUCCCCGGGCUUAACCUGGGGACUGCAUUGGUGACUGCAAGGCUAGAGUGUGUCAGAGGGAGGUGGAAUUCCGCAUGUAGCAGUGAAAUGCGUAGAUAUGCGGAGGAACACCGAUGGCGAAGGCAGCCUCCUGGGAUAACACUGACGCUCAUGCACGAAAGCGUGGGGAGCAAACAGGAUUAGAUACCCUGGUAGUCCACGCCCUAAACGAUGUCUACUAGUUGUCGGGGAUUAAUUUCCUUGGUAACGCAGCUAACGCGUGAAGUAGACCGCCUGGGGAGUACGGUCGCAAGAUUAAAACUCAAAGGAAUUGACGG